Haemorhous mexicanus (house finch) is the source of this 429-nucleotide non-coding RNA. Lineage: Eukaryota; Metazoa; Chordata; Aves; Passeriformes; Fringillidae. The record is from the annotation of a RefSeq genome assembly.
GCAGGGCUCCGGGCGGCCGUGACCCUGCAGGAGUCCGGGGGGGACCUCCAGCCCCCCGGGGGGUCCCUGACCUUGCUGUGCCGCGUCUCCGGGUUCGAUGUCGGCGGUUUCCUCAUGUUCUGGAUCCGCCAGAGCCCCGGGCAGGGGCUGGAAUACGUCGGGAGCAUCAGGAAGGAAGGCUGGAGCUGGUACGCGCCGUCGGUGCAGGGCCGGGUCAGGAUCUCCAGGGACGACGGGCAGAGCUCGGUGACGCUGACCAUGACCGACCUCCGGGACGAGGAUUCCGCCGUCUAUUUCUGUGGGAAAUCUGCCUACAGUAGUUGGGGUGCUGCUGCUGUUCGUUUUGACCCCAUCCCUGUCCCUGUAUCCUGGAGUCUCCAUGUCCCAGACCCUUCCCCAAACCCCAGCCCCUGACCCCAUUCCUGUCCC